Molecule: long non-coding RNA, 3897 nt
Organism: Anolis carolinensis (green anole)
Lineage: Eukaryota; Metazoa; Chordata; Lepidosauria; Squamata; Anolidae
Exons: 2
Source: RefSeq, a predicted model, not a curated record
UCCCUAUUUCGGGUUGGAUUUCCCUUAAUCCUUUGUCCACUACAUGUUGCUGAGGUUGAGGAUGGCUUUCUUUUUGUGAGAAGACUGGGGCAAAGAAGGCAAUAAGUAGUUCUGCCUUUUCCCUAGCCCGUCACCAUCACCCCAUCUUCUCAUCAGAGGCCCUAUCGCCUCCUUGUUCUUCCUUUUUCUACCGACUAAGCAAAAAAAAAGAAGCCUUUAGCCUUGUGAACCUUUUCCCUACAGGAGUUGCUACAGGAGUUGAAUUCUUCUUUGGUGAUUUCUCCCCUUUUCCAUAUCAGAAAUAAAUAAAACAAACUAAGAAUAAUAACAUUGUAGUAAAAACAUAGUUGAUUUAAAACACAAUUAUAUACCAGGGCAAAACCAGUUCAGCCAGUUAGGAUUUGUAUAACUGUAAAACCACAAUCAUAGUAAGUUAUAAAUUAGUUGCUUCCGAACGCCUGCUUGUAGGUUGACUCAGAGCCAAUCACUGUCAUUCAGCCUAAUUUAUCUCACAAGGGAACUACGUUGAUAAAGAAAUUGGAAGAUGUCUUUUCAUGCUGCCUUGAGAAAAUAUUGUAUUUGUGUACAGACUCAAGAGUUGUCUAGUGCCAUUUCAGACCUUGUUCCCAAUUUCUUACUCAACUCUAAGCUGCAAUCUUUUUGGUUCUGUAAUUCUGAAGCAAAACACACAUAGCUCUUUCCUUCCAACCUUUAGAAAGGGUUGUGAUGGUGAUCAUGGUCAGUUCAACUAUGUAGACACUUGCCAACCAAAGAAAAAGAAAUCCAUGGCGCCAAGCUAUGGUCAUCAGUGAAAUUCUUGAGGCUUUAAAACGUGCAUGUGUGAGGAGAUAGCUCAUGCAUUUAACCUGUGUUUCAAAAACUCUUUUCUGAUUAGUUUAGGAUAAAUUCUUCCCAGUCAGAACUUUUAGGAUGGGUAAGUGUACACUUCAUCGGAGUUAAAUUUUGACAAAUAUUUUUAACUUUUACCAUCACUCUCUCAUACACAAAUAACACUUCCUGAAAACAAGUGAGGGUUAUAGCUCAGAGGUAGAAGUAUUUCAAUGUGUAAGAUGACAGAUAUAACCCUUUUUAUCUCCAGUUACGAAAGAUCUCAGGUAUCAGGUUGGAAAACAUCACUAUCAGAAAUCUUAAACAGGUGCUGCAAGACCAAGGAGUAAGUAAUGAGCCAAACAGAGUAAUAGCCUAACUCAAUGCAAAGCAACUUCACAUUGCCACCCCAAUCCUCAAAUUGCCGUCCAGUCUCAAACUGAUCUCUGAUCUCACAUACUACUCCUACGUAGAGUACACCCAAAGAGAAGACUAUCCUUGUCUUUAAUGAAUAACUGCUACAAGAAUGGAUCUGUCAGUAUGAUUCAAAACUACUCUUUUAUGCACAUUAACUUUCAUCUUACAACACUGGCAAUCCCUCGUGGCCAAGUAUGAUUGUUUUCCAAGGGUAGAGACUUGGUGGGGGUCCGUAAGUGAUGUGCAUGGUCUUUCACAUUGAGGACAUACAUUUCCAAAUGGAAGGAAAUCCCAACAAGUUUGCUUGAUGAUCCUUUCUCUUAGCACAUUUCUCCCUUACUCCCCCUAUACAGGCAUCUUCAAAAUCCAUAGCACUGGAGUGUUGUGUGGCUUCCAGGCUGUAUGGCCAUGUUCUAGCAGCAUUUCCUCCUGACGGUUCACCUGCAUCUCUGGCUGGCAUCUUCAGAGGAUCCUCUGAAGCUGAGAGUAAAGUAACUGCAUUCGUAGAUGAUUGCGCAUUUGGACACUGUGCCCAGUCCAACGACGUUGAUGGCAUUAACUUUGAGAUUAAAGCUAACAUUAACUUUAUACAAAGAUGAGCUUUCUUACCCUUGUGAGAAAGUGACAGGAAUAAGAAACAAUUAUGGAUCCUACCUUUGCACUGAAACCUAUAGGGUGGAAGUUAAAUAACUUAUAAGAACAGUUCUAAGACACAUUCUUCUAUUUCAAACACAGUAGCUUUACAUUCAAAAAUAGAAAUACAUUGAAAAGCAAAAUAAGUCUACCCUAAUACAUGACAGUAACUCCGCUAUCAAAAUAGUAAGACACAAUAUUUUUCAACAAACCAUAGGCUGCCCUAGAGUAAACGUAAAGGUUUUCACCUGACAUUGUCGAGUCAUGUCUGACUCUGGGCACUGGUGCUCAUCUCCAUUUCUAAGCCAAAGAGCUGGCAUUGUUCGUAGACGCCUCCAAGGUCAUGUGGCUGGCAUGUGUGCAUGGAGCGCCAUUACCUUCCCGCUGGAGUGGUACCUAUUGAUCUACUCUACUCCCAUUUGCAUGUUUUUGAAUUGCUAGGUUGGCAGAAGCUAGGCCUAACAGCGGUAGCUCACCCCACUCCCCGGAUUCAAACCGCCAAGCUUUCAGUCAGCAAGUUCAGUGGCUCAGCGGUUUAACCUGCUGCGCCACCGGGAGCUCCAUGUUUCCCCCAAAAUAAGACAGGAUCUUAUAUUUUUGCUCCAAAAAAUGUGUUAGGGCUUGUUUUCAUGGACAGACUUAUUUUUUUCUUAAUUGACUUCUUAAAUGAACUAUAUCUAGGGCUUAUAUAUGAAAUAGGGAUUCUAUUUUGAGCAUCCUCAGAAAUGCUGAAAAAUCAUGAAAGGUCUUAUUUUGGGGAUAGGUCUUAUUUUGCGGGAAACAGGAUAUUAGCAUCAGCAGACAGAAUGCUAUCUUUAAACUGAGCAAAAUCAUUAGUCCAUCCAGUCCAGUAAGGGCACCAUCACUCAGAGCCAGAGAUUGUACAUAUUUUUCUAGUCUUAUUUGGAGAUGCCAGGAAUUGAAGCUGAGAACUUUAUCAUGCAGCAACAUGCUCCACCACACAAGUGACCUGAAUAUCUCGUUCAAAAUACAAACAAAAACUGAACAUCCAUUUCAUCCCCUCAAAUGAAAUUUUCCUUCACUACCCAAAUUUCUACUGUCACAAACCGUGAAACAUUAAAAAUCAUUCCCACCUAUAAUAAUCAGCUGUACUCACUUUAUCUUUGUUACUUUGCCAGGUUCUUCUCUUUGGAUACCUAAAUGCACAACAAAAGCUUUAAGUUAUUGCAGAGCUAAACAACUGGGGAAUGGAGGAACAUUUUCAGAGGCAGAAUUCUUGCUUAUUAUCUGCAUCUCUACCUAAAUGGGAAUGCAUCUCAGCAUGUUUUACAAAAUACAAAGCACCACAUUUCAAGGAAAGGCCAAAGAAAGCUACAGAAAAAGAGAAAAACAAUGAAAAAGCUGCUGUUCGCCUUCGUUGUCUUGGCUUUUUGUGCCAUCCCAUGACGUGGACCUUCUUGUGAUGACUUCACCCUUUGGACCUUGGACUGGAACUCGACUUGAAAUAUCUCUUCGCUCCCAAACUCGGCUUGGUAUCAUUCUCAUCUCCGUGGCUGUCUACUGUUGCCGACUGCUGGCUUCGUUCUUGAUCCUGACGCUGUUUCCUUAUCCCGACUUCGGACUGGCUUGACUUCGUUACAACGCUACGCUCCUUUAACUCCUGGCCUGGCUUUCGACUCUGCAGCAGUUUGCCGCUAAUUCUUCAGCAUCUUCCAGUUUUGCUUGUUUGCGCCGCUUGCGGCGAAGAGCUUUAGCCCGGUUUGGGUUUCUGCUUUAGUUUUGGAAUCGCUGCUGUACUUCUGGGUUUUGGGAAAGUUUUUGGGGCUUUGUUUGUUUUGCCAUUUUAAGCCCGUUUUGUGUUUUUGGGCUGAGUUCAAGUACUUUAGUUUAAAUCUGGAUUAUAUCUCUGGAUAAUCUGGAUUAUAAACCAGUUCGUGCUUUUGGCGUUUUUUCUGUUUUGACUGUUUAAUAACACUGAAGAUUAAGUGUUUUAAGCCUCUGGACAAUUUACUAAGCUGUUUUUGAGUUAUUACUUUAAUAAACUAUAUUUUGCUCUCA